UACGGAGGGUGCGAGCGUUGUCCGGAAUCACUGGGCGUAAAGGGCGCGUAGGCGGCCUGAUAAGUAGGGGGUGAAAUCCUGCGGCUUAACCGCAGGGCUGCCUUCUAAACUGUCAGGCUAGAGCACGGUAGAGGCAGAUGGAAUUCCCGGUGUAGCGGUGGAAUGCGUAGAGAUCGGGAAGAACAUCAGUGGCGAAGGCGGUCUGCUGGGCCGUUGCUGACGCUGAGGCGCGAAAGCGUGGGGAGCAAACGGG
Molecule: ribosomal RNA, 253 nt
Filed under: uncultured bacterium
Lineage: Bacteria
Description: partial 16S ribosomal RNA
Rfam family: Bacterial small subunit ribosomal RNA
Source: RNAcentral